AGUCCCGGCGGGAGGCGUGGGCAGGAGGGGGGGCGAGGCUGCAAUACCAACCUCGCUAUUGAAGGUUUUCACAGCCUCCAUGUUGUCGGUGCGGAGGCCCCGAGCCCGGCGGCGGAAGAGGCGGCGGCCACUGCGCUGGACUCCUGUUUCACCUCCCCGCCGCUCGGGCCGCAGGAACCAGCAGCGCACAGCGAAGACGGAGGAGGAAGCGCUGGCAGCAGCGGCUGCGGCAUCCAAUAUGGCGGACGCGAGUCGGGCCGCGCAGCUCGGAGAUCCGCGGCGCCGGCCAGCGCGCCCCCUGGUGACUGGACCGCGCGGGCCCGAGCGGCCGCGCGGAAACCAUCGAGCGAGCGCGGGCCAGAGCGUCGCCUCUCGGAGGUCCCGCUCCGCUCGGCCCGGGGCCGCCCGCGCCUCGCCCCCUCCCCGCGCCUUGCAGACGCGGGAGCGAGCGCUGCGGCCGCGCCGAGCGCCUCGGCCCGCCCUUGGAGGCCCCUGCAAAGCGUUACUCCGAGGAAUGCCUAAGAGUCCCCGGAACGCGACAAGUUUGGGAAAUAAUGCCCACGUUUCCGUUGUUUCCAAGUAGAUUGGUCCUUUUACGUGAGCUGUUGGGUUCAGUUGUUUUUCAGAACUUUACUGGACAGUGGCCUAAAGGUUAACAGCCCAAAGAAAAGUUCCUAAUCAUUCCUUUAUUUAGUAACGAUGUGUCCAUGCAUUUUAAUAGCGUCGGGAGGAAAUGUGAGAAACAAAGCUUCGGAUCCGGGUGGGGGCAGGGGGACGAGGGAAGCACGCACGCAGCCAGCAAGCAGCUCCGAGCAGGAAAUGCACGCUGCAUAAAAUCCAGGGGGACUGGUGCACAGACAAUGAGUGCAUUUGUCUGUGCCGCGGGAAGCGGGUCCCAGGCGCACAAGAUUUGGAUAGGUGAAAGGGAACUCAUGUUUAAUGGAAGAUGAAUUAUUCUGAAGGAAUUUUGCUCUAGGCCGUUUGGAGUUAAGACGGUGAAUUCGAAGGUAUUCGAAGAUGAAGAAAGAUGCUGCUAGCAAAAUGCCUUCUCCCACUUGGUGCAAAUGUAAAAUAACCAAUACCAAAUUAAAAGCGAACAUUAAUUGAAAUUAAAAGUUAGGGUGUACCACUGAACCCCAAACGCCGCUGUCCUCUUGCUGAAAGCCCUUUUUUUCAGCGGUCACCUCCCAAGUUCAUUCAACGAGAAGGGAGGGAAAUGGCAGAAUUUUAUGCUGGGGGACUGUUGGACCCAAGGUACUUUGGUAUAAGAUCUGAGCCCAAAGCCUAUGAAACUGAGAAAGGCGGACCCUUCUUGACUUCUUAGGGUCCGGGUCUACUUCAUUAAAACAACUUUAAUAUAGGGGCUGACUACUUAAAAGGUAAAAAGGAUAACUUCUUCGUCAGUAAGAGCUUAUAUUUUCACCUUCAGAAUCUCAAAUGUGGUCACAAAAGUUCUCCAUCACCAUUGGCCUCCAAUCCUCAUAGGCCUACCCGUUUUGAUUUCUGGUCAACAAUUGCUGUAGCCUUCUAACGGUUCUCCUGCUUGUCUUCCUAGGAUUCAUUCUCCAGACUAGCCAGAGGGACUUUUUGUUGUUGUUAUUAAGACACAAGUCAGAUGAGGUCUGACUUAUAUCCCUUUAGGAUUUUCUCAUUGCUCUUCAGAUAUUGUCAAUAACCUCUUUCUAGGGCCUGAAGUUCCCUGCCUACCACAAUCCAUUCUACUCUGCUUUACUCUCUUCGUUCUGGUCACACUGGCCUCCUUUCUGUUCCUUGGCAACACAAAGCAUUUUCCCACCUAGAACACUUCUAUGUGCCCCUUCCCUCUGGGAUGCUGAUGCUUGUGUUCUUUUCAUAGCUGACUCUUCAUCCUGUCUUCCUCCUGCAAGAGGUCUCUUCCAAUCAGUCCAUCUAAAGGAGCAUGCCAUGACUUGCAUAAGUACCCCACUCAGUAUGAUUCAUGCCAGAUUCUAAAG
Long non-coding RNA from Mirounga angustirostris (Northern elephant seal), 1973 nucleotides. RefSeq lists it as uncharacterized. The record is from RefSeq and is a predicted model, not a curated record. The transcript is spliced from 2 exons. NCBI's taxonomy places the organism in Eukaryota, Metazoa, Chordata, Mammalia, Carnivora, Phocidae.